Molecule: transfer RNA, 71 nt
Filed under: Marmota marmota marmota (Alpine marmot)
Lineage: Eukaryota; Metazoa; Chordata; Mammalia; Rodentia; Sciuridae
Also listed under: 3 other names
Rfam family: tRNA
About the family: Transfer RNA (tRNA) molecules are approximately 80 nucleotides in length. Their secondary structure includes four short double-helical elements and three loops (D, anti-codon, and T loops).
Source: Rfam by way of RNAcentral
GGGGAUGUAGCUCAGUAGGGUAGAGCACUUGCCUCACACGUAUGAGGCACAGGGUUUGAUCCUCAGCACCA